RNAcentral lists this long non-coding RNA (507 nucleotides) under Sarcophilus harrisii (Tasmanian devil). RNAcentral's name for it is "lncRNA (ENSSHAG00000021539.1)". The record is from RNAcentral. Lineage: Eukaryota; Metazoa; Chordata; Mammalia; Dasyuromorphia; Dasyuridae.
AGGCGGGUGGGUCGAGAGGCUCGGCCGGGCGGGAGGCGCGGUCGCCUCCUCUCCAGCUGCGCGCUCCAGCGGUGCCCAAGGCGCGGGCGCUCGGACUGGCUAGAUGGCCGGAGAGCGAACCCGCAGGUUCACGCGCAGCCUACUGAGACCCGGCGGGGCGGCCGAGCUGAGGCACAGCGCUGCUUCGGCCGCCGCCGCGGCUGUCAGCAGCCGGCAGCACCAGCAGCGGAUAAAGAAUGUGAAACUGAAAGCUAUAAGAAUUUAAGAAGUCAAGGUGCACCAGAUGCUCCGAGGUCUGCUGUGGUAGAGAAUACAUAGACCACAAGUAGACCAGUCCUUGCUUUCAAGCACUACAGCUACUAAGAGUCAAAUCUGAUUUCAAAUCCAUGUUUUCUUAACUCAGAGUCUAAAACUCUUAACAAAAGAUUAAAUAUGAUGUCAUUUUUAAUUUCCAGUGUCAUUCUAGUAUAUGUACAAAUUUCUGACCUCUGCUGUGAUGUUAUUCAA